GUUUAUGGCCAUGCCACCCCAAACACGACCAAUCUUGUCUAAUCUUGGUAGCUAAGCAAGGUCGGGCCUAGUUAGUACUUUGAUGGGAGACCACCUAGGAAUACCAGGUGCAGUACGUU
RNAcentral lists this ribosomal RNA (119 nucleotides) under Pteropus alecto (black flying fox). Lineage: Eukaryota; Metazoa; Chordata; Mammalia; Chiroptera; Pteropodidae. The record is from RNAcentral.